CGGACGGUUCCAUUUGUUUCCUAUGCCUCGUUAGACGAAGUGGAAAAUAAACCUGAGUACUUCAACGGCUGCUAUGGCGGUUCGAUUGCCUUUUGCGAACCUAAAACGCUACAAGGUUCAGUUGUAAAGAAUCUCAGGGAAGCUAACUUGGAAGUAACAUUAUCCGUUUGAAAUUUCCACGGCCCGGCGCAACUACGGUGAUUCAAUUCUGCGCAGACUCGGGCCACAUGGUACCGUUUCGGAGCUCCGAAUCAUCUAUUGGCAGCUCUCGAAACACAAGAACGCACUGGAGGAAUAAAAAGUUCUUUCAAAUACAUUCUCAUGUUUCUGUUAGUAUACAAAUUUUGACAUGGGUGGAAACUCAAAACAAUAUCCGGAUGUCAGCUACUGAUUAUGCCAUCAGGUUGGAACUAAUCAUCAAAGUUCACAGUGGCGGAAGAAGAGUAUUUAACAAGCAUACCCAACAGUGCUGCAGGGACAUCUGCCGGUCGCCCUCUUCUUUGUAGUUAUGUAGAAGAAAGGGCCGUCGACAAAGCUGAGGCUUUCAUGGUUGAAGUGGGUGGCUUGGGGAUGAUUGUGACCCAUCAACCAUUUAGUUACUUCAUAUAUAACAAAGUGCCCCUUGUUAUUCUGCAAUCGAAGCAAAACAAGAUACCAGAACUUUUCUUUCCUACAACCUUUUGAUGUAUGCUUGUGCUGAGAUUGCUGGGACCUCUUCUGUAGGAAUGUUGAACUGGGAUGGACCUCCCUAUCCACUCUAGCCAAUGCUUGCAUAAAAGCAGGACUUGUUAAUCAAGCCCCUGUGCCACUAAAACUUGCAGAGAAGAAGCUGUCUGCCUCUAAUUGCCUCUGGUAUCUUUUCCUUGUCACGCUUUAUACCUCUUUGAGUGAUAAGAAGGGAGUUCGUCUUGGGAUGCUAGUAAAAUUAUGAAUGGGACAAUCACAUGUGCCAGUUUCAUCUGUAUAUUAUCAUGUUUAGUAGAGCUUGGUGAUUUUUUGGUAGCCAAGAAAAGAGGAUCUUAAUGGAAUGGGAGUCCAACCGUAGAAAAUAUGACAUUAGAGCUUCUGAUGUUCUUUUUGGUGCCUAAACGUGAAAUGGACUGGUGAAAGAAACUGAACUGUUACAUCUCCAAACAUUAGAGAGAGGCGGCUUCUCAAAUCAUGAGACCUGGGAAAUUCUCAUGAAGGGAUGGGUGAGCAGCGGGAAUGUGAUCAAAGCUAUAGAUGCCAUUAAGAAAGAGUUUUCUUUGUUGAAACAUUGUAAUUAGAGGCCAUCACAUGGUAGUUUAUUGGCCAUUGCUGAGUACUUUGAGAAGCAUGGGAAUUUUGAAGAUUCAAACCA
Molecule: long non-coding RNA, 1342 nt
Organism: Mangifera indica (mango)
Lineage: Eukaryota; Viridiplantae; Streptophyta; Magnoliopsida; Sapindales; Anacardiaceae
Exons: 3
Source: RefSeq, a predicted model, not a curated record